CUACGGGCCGCUGCAGUAGGGAAUCUUCCACAAUGGACGAAAGUCUGAUGGAGCAAUACCAUGUGAACGAUGAAGGUCUUUUUGAUUGUAAAGUUCUUUUAUGAGGGAUAACAACUGAUAGUACCUCAUGAAUAAGUGACAGCAAACUAUGUGCCAGCAGCUGCGGUAAUACAUAGGUCGCAAGCAUUAUUCGGAUUUAUUGGGCGUAAAGCAAGCGCAGGCGGAUGUGUAAGUUCUGUGUUAAAAGUAGCUACUUAAUAGUUGUUUGCACCGAAUACUACAUGUCUAGAAUGUGGUAGGAAGUUUUGGAAUUAAACAUGGAGCGGUGGAAUGUGUAGAUAUGUUUAAGAACACCGGAGGCGAAGGCGAAAACUUAGGCCAUAAUUGACGCUUAGGCUUGAAAGUGUGGGGAGCAAAUGGGAUUAGAUACCCUAGUAGUC
This 440-nucleotide ribosomal RNA is filed under the name uncultured bacterium. RNAcentral's name for it is "partial 16S ribosomal RNA". It matches the Rfam family "Bacterial small subunit ribosomal RNA", at positions 339 to 795 of the family's 1533-position model. The record is from RNAcentral.